RNAcentral lists this unclassified non-coding RNA (399 nucleotides) under soil metagenome. Its description in RNAcentral is "partial contains 5.8S ribosomal RNA, internal transcribed spacer 2, and large subunit ribosomal RNA". The stretch from base 2 to 121 matches the Rfam family "5.8S ribosomal RNA", at positions 37 to 154 of the family's 154-position model. The record is from RNAcentral.
GUGAAGAACGCAGCGAAAUGCGAUACUUGGUGUGAAUUGCAGAAUCCCGUGAACCAUCGAGUCUUUGAACGCAAGUUGCGCCUCAAGCCAUUAGGUUGAGGGCACGUCUGCCUGGGCGUCACAUAUCGUUGCCUGAUGCCAGUUUCCUCGUGAUGGGUGACUGUGCAGGGCGAAUGAUGGCUUCCCGUGAGCAUUGUUGCCUCAUGGUUGGUUGAAAAUUGAGUCCUUGGUAGGGAGCGCCGUGAUAGAUGGUGGUUGAGUGACGAACGAGACCCAAUCAUGUGAGACCCCUACCGAAUUUGGCCUUCAUGACCCACAUGCGUCUUUGGAACGCUCAUGACGAGACCUCAGGUCAGGCGGGGCUACCCGCUGAGUUUAAGCAUAUCAAUAAGCGGAGGA